UGGAUCGUAAAAGUAUUAGUUAAUUAUUUUGAAAUUAACUAAAACUCACACUAUAACAGAAUUAGAUUAUAGGGACACAUAUUUAGGACACUUUUAUAUAAGUGUCCUAUUUAUACCAAAACUUUAAAAAAAAUCUGCUAAUGGCUAAGUAUAAAGUCCAAUCGAAUAAAAAAUAAAAGGUUACUCUACUCAACCCACACCAUCCAGCCUAUUCGUCUCGAUUACAAAUAGAAAAGAAAAAAAAGAAAAGAAAAAUCGAUUACCAUCUCUCCUUCUCUCCUCACUCAAUCCACUGAAAUUCUAGACGAAGAUCCCUUCCCUCUCGUCCUCCUCCGCCACCGCAGCCAACGAGCUAGAGUUCCAGCGAUUGCUAAAUGCUUAAAUAAGUGUUGGUAAAUUAGCAGUACUCUUUUUAGAUUAUAGCGACACUCUUUAACUGUCACUAUAUACCUAGCGACCCCACAUAUAGCAACACUUUUUAAAAGUGCUGGUAAUUUAGCCAGCAGUACUUUUUUUGACCUGCACCAACAUUUAAAAGUGUUGCUAUAGACCUUUUUUUUAUUGUAGUGUCAUCGUUGGUUCAAACAAAUACUUAUAUUCUUUUUCUUUUCUUUUCUUUUUUCUAUGUUUCCAAAUCAUUCUACUCAAAUGAUAUUUUUUUUGAGAAUUGGCUCCAAUUAAUCAAAACAAAGUGGGUCCCAAAUAAAGGCUCCAAUUAAAGAAAGGUUCUUAUUUUGUACUUAGAAACAGAAGCCGAAUUUUACUGUUGCAGGAAAAGUGUAAUUUCAUGUGAGGGCCUUUUUUUUUUUUUUUUUUUUUAAGAGUUAAUUUCAUACAACUCCCUAAAAAUAUCAAAUAACAAAUAUAUUCCUACAGAGUUUAAUUUUGCAUAUUUAUUCCUACAACCAUCUAGUGAUAUUUAUAUUUGCCUCUCUAGAUUGUCACCGUUAGAGCACUGUUUAUUUUUUAACAGAAAAUAAGUAAAAUAAUAUUUUUUUCAUCACAAAUAUGUCUCUUGAAAAGUCUCAACUGUUAAAAUUUUACCGAAAUAUUAUUCAAAAAAUCACCAAUAGUCGUCAUCUUUUUCCUUCAUGCCAUCACAAAUAAUACGAAAGAGAUAAAAAGGUCAAUUUCUUUCAUUCACUAAUUAGAAUUAAGUAUUUUACUUAUAACUAAUUAUAUUUUUCUAACGUGUCUUUCCAGUAAGGAUAUAUUUGAAAACGUUAGAAUUUUUAUAGGAAUAAAUAUAGAAAAUUAAACUUUAUAUAAGAUAUCUGUUAUUUGAUAUGUUCACUGGAAGCUAUAUGCAAUUAUUUUUUUAUUAUUACUUUUCUUAUAAUAAUACAA
This 1347-nucleotide long non-coding RNA is filed under the name Ananas comosus (pineapple). RNAcentral's name for it is "long non-coding RNA (ACOM_LNC019340)". The record is from RNAcentral. Lineage: Eukaryota; Viridiplantae; Streptophyta; Magnoliopsida; Poales; Bromeliaceae.